CGUGACUGUACUCUUGUGACUGCACGCUCAACAACAAACCAACAAACAUGAAAUUCUUCAGGGUACUCGGUAUGAUCGCCGCUCUGCUGCUCGCCGCACAAGUCGCGAGCGCUCAGGAGAAUGCAGCCUCUGACGAAGUAGGUCUCCGUGGACCGAGAAAUG
This is a long non-coding RNA of Manduca sexta (tobacco hornworm), 162 nucleotides long. RefSeq lists it as uncharacterized. The transcript is spliced from 2 exons. The record is from RefSeq and is a predicted model, not a curated record. NCBI's taxonomy places the organism in Eukaryota, Metazoa, Arthropoda, Insecta, Lepidoptera, Sphingidae.